AAGGAUUUAAGUUAAUUUAAACUAGAAGCCUUCAAAGCCUCCAAUAAAGGUAAUCUUUAAGCCUUA
Molecule: transfer RNA, 66 nt
Filed under: Hesperus amabilis
Lineage: Eukaryota; Metazoa; Arthropoda; Insecta; Coleoptera; Staphylinidae
Description: tRNA-Trp
Source: RNAcentral